This 1466-nucleotide ribosomal RNA is filed under the name uncultured organism. Its description in RNAcentral is "16S ribosomal RNA". It matches the Rfam family "Bacterial small subunit ribosomal RNA". The record is from RNAcentral.
UGGCUCAGAUUGAACGCUGGCGGCAGGCCUAACACAUGCAAGUCGAACGGUAACAGGAAGAAGCUUGCUUCUUUGCUGACGAGUGGCGGACGGGUGAGUAAUGUCUGGGAAACUGCCUGAUGGAGGGGGAUAACUACUGGAAACGGUAGCUAAUACCGCAUAACGUCGCAAGACCAAAGAGGGGGACCUUCGGGCCUCUUGCCAUCGGAUGUGCCCAGAUGGGAUUAGCUAGUAGGUGGGGUAAAGGCUCACCUAGGCGACGAUCCCUAGCUGGUCUGAGAGGAUGACCAGCCACACUGGAACUGAGACACGGUCCAGACUCCUACGGGAGGCAGCAGUGGGGAAUAUUGCACAAUGGGCGCAAGCCUGAUGCAGCCAUGCCGCGUGUAUGAAGAAGGCCUUCGGGUUGUAAAGUACUUUCAGCGGGGAGGAAGGGAGUAAAGUUAAUACCUUUGCUCAUUGACGUUACCCGCAGAAGAAGCACCGGCUAACUCCGUGCCAGCAGCCGCGGUAAUACGGAGGGUGCAAGCGUUAAUCGGAAUUACUGGGCGUAAAGCGCACGCAGGCGGUUUGUUAAGUCAGAUGUGAAAUCCCCGGGCUCAACCUGGGAACUGCAUCUGAUACUGGCAAGCUUGAGUCUCGUAGAGGGGGGUAGAAUUCCAGGUGUAGCGGUGAAAUGCGUAGAGAUCUGGAGGAAUACCGGUGGCGAAGGCGGCCCCCUGGACGAAGACUGACGCUCAGGUGCGAAAGCGUGGGGAGCAAACAGGAUUAGAUACCCCGGUAGUCCACGCCGUAAACGAUGUCGACUUGGAGGUUGUGCCCGUUAAGGCGGGGCUUCCGGAGCUAACGCGUUAAGUCGACCGCGUGGGGGAGUGCGGACGCAAGGUUAAAACUCAAAUGAAUUGGACGGGGGCCCGCACAAGCGGUGGAGCAUGUGGUUUAAUUAGAUGCAACGCGAAGAACCUUACCUGGUCUUGACAUCCACAGAACUUUCCAGAGAUGGAUUGGUGCCUUCGGGAACUGUGAGACAGGUGCUGCAUGGCUGUCGUCAGCUCGUGUUGUGAAAUGUUGGGUUAAGUCCCGCAACGAGCGCAACCCUUAUCCUUUGUUGCCAGCGGUCCGGCCGGGAACUCAAAGGAGACUGCCAGUGAUAAACUGGAGGAAGGUGGGGAUGACGUCAAGUCAUCAUGGCCCUUACGACCAGGGCUACACACGUGCUACAAUGGCGCAUACAAAGAGAAGCGACCUCGCGAGAGCAAGCGGACCUCAUAAAGUGCGUCGUAGUCCGGAUUGGAGUCUGCAACUCGACUCCAUGAAGUCGGAAUCGCUAGUAAUCGUGGAUCAGAAUGCCACGGUGAAUACGUUCCCGGGCCUUGUACACACCGCCCGUCACACCAUGGGAGUGGGUUGCAAAAGAAGUAGGUAGCUUAACCUUCGGGAGGGCGCUUACCACUUUGUGAUUCAUG